Molecule: long non-coding RNA, 986 nt
Organism: Zingiber officinale
Lineage: Eukaryota; Viridiplantae; Streptophyta; Magnoliopsida; Zingiberales; Zingiberaceae
Exons: 3
Source: RefSeq, a predicted model, not a curated record
AGAACUCCCUCGUGUACGUGUUUAACCUAGAGUCUUUGGGCCCAAAGAGAGGUGUCCCUUCUCCGUCUCCGCCGCCCUGCGCGUCUCCUCAUUGCGCCCUGCGCGUCUCUGCCGCUGUGCCCUGUGCAUCUUCGCCGCUGUGCCCUGUGCAUCUUCGCCGCUGUGCCCUACGCAUCUUCGCUGCUGCGCCCUGCGCGUCUCCGCCGCUGCGCUCUGCGCGUCUCCGCCGCUGCGCCCUGUGCGUCUCCGCCGUUGCGCCCCUCGCGUCUCCUUCGCUGCCGCAUCCAGUCUACGCCACUGCGCCCCGUCUCUACCGCCGCGCCCCGUAUCAUCUGCCGCUUCCCUCUCCGCAGCGAAAUCGGAGGCAGUGAUCGUCGUCUGCAGUUCUUUCUUCUUUUCCUACAAGAAUAGAGGAGAUAAAGAAGGGUGACUACUGUGUAUACAAAGAUGAGAUUUUUUGCAUGCCGCAGUUCUCCCAUUUUUCACAAGCCACAGUUCUCCUCUUUUCAGUACUGCAUCGAAGUCACCAUUCAUCUUCUUUUAGAUCCUUUCACCAGUGAUGACAUCUUCAUUAGAACAAUGAAUGAAAGAGUUCAAUGAAGCAUGAAGGCUUUCUAAGGAAAUCAGUGUUAUGCUUUCUGAAAGGGCUCUUUGCCUUCAUCUGGGCUUGAGACCCAAUGCCAAUUGACUGCAAUGAGGAGGAAGAUAACAAUUCUCCAUACCAGACUAGAGAACUUGGAGUCGCUUCUUUCAAAGCUUCCUAGCUUAUAGCCAAUGUGAUAGGUACUUGGAUUUUUGUGAAGCAAUACGACAGUUGAAGAUGGUCUGCCUAGUUAGCUUUUAUUUUAUAAGACUGUUCUAAAACUUAAUAUUUUGAGUGUAGUGUGUUGUUAGUUUUGGAUGUAAAGAACUUGUCGUUAGUUUACGUUUGUAACUUUGACUCAAAUAUUUGUUGAUGAAUUUAGAUUAUCUAUUUGCACUUUAAA